Gavialis gangeticus (Gharial) is the source of this 312-nucleotide long non-coding RNA. RefSeq lists it as uncharacterized. NCBI's taxonomy places the organism in Eukaryota, Metazoa, Chordata, Crocodylia, Gavialidae. The record is from RefSeq and is a predicted model, not a curated record. The transcript has 3 exons.
AGUUAUCCAUACGUGGCAUCCGGUACCCACGUUGAAGAGCCACCAUGACAUCAGAAUUACUCAUACCUAAAACAAGGAAGACAAUACGUCUUCCUGGGAUGUGCAGUGUGUCAGAACAGACAGGGUGAAGCCAUGGCUCCAUAUGAAGCAAGCUGUAGUGCCCUGAAAGAUGGUUUGGUUCUCCUGCAUACCAGUCCACUGGAGAAAAACCUGAUGAUUUCCUGAAUCACACAGCUCAAUAAUGAACAUAUAGAAGAACUCCACUUCACCAUGGGCUUGACCUUGCAAAAUGAUCCACCCCCUGACCACAAU